Molecule: small nuclear RNA, 141 nt
Organism: Aotus nancymaae (Ma's night monkey)
Lineage: Eukaryota; Metazoa; Chordata; Mammalia; Primates; Aotidae
Gene: U4
Rfam family: U4 spliceosomal RNA
About the family: U4 small nuclear RNA (U4 snRNA) is a component of the major U2-dependent spliceosome. The structure of U4 snRNA from yeast and human has been reported.
Source: Ensembl
AGCUUUGCACAGUGGCAGUAUCAUAGCUAGUGAGUUUCAUCCGAGGCACGAUUAUUGCUAAUAGAAAACUUUUCCCAAUACCCCGCCAUGAUGACUUGGAUUAUAGUCGGAAUUGGCAAUUUUUGAUAAUCUCCACGGAGA